AUUCGGUUAAUACUCUCUGCAAGGCCAUGCGCAGAAAAGCUAGACUACUCGAGGGCGCUACUCCCGGAGCCGAGACCAAGGCGCGCAAACUGACCAGGAAGCGCGUGAAGUCGAAGAGUCUAUUGUGCGGGGUAGAGCUCACUGAUGCCGAAGCCUCGGAGCUGCGCAGGUUUAUACGCGCGGGGGUGUAGCUCGUUGCCUCUGCCUCCUAUCCGUGUCUGUGUCGCUCUCUUUAGUGUGUGUCGCUUUCUCUCAUGUUUAACAUCUUGUCUUGGAACGUUCGCGGUCUUAACAACCCCACUAAGCGUCGUUGCGUUAGGUCGGUCGUCUCUAAAUUUUUUCGCUCUGUCGUCUCUAUCCAAGAAUCCAAGGUAGAUUCUGUGUCCCGGUC
Molecule: long non-coding RNA, 391 nt
Filed under: Ananas comosus (pineapple)
Lineage: Eukaryota; Viridiplantae; Streptophyta; Magnoliopsida; Poales; Bromeliaceae
Description: long non-coding RNA (ACOM_LNC003991)
Source: RNAcentral